UUCCCGUGUCCAAUUAAUGAUGAUAAGAAGAAAAUAAAGAAGAAGGAGAAGAAAGUUCCGUGUGCUGUGUUCGUCGGAAAUUACAGGUGAUGCGGUUCAAGGAGGAAAAGCUGAUGAGUAAUGAAGAACUCGAACUGAUCGUCAUGGAGUAGAUCGAGCGGGUGUACGUCGACGGCUCAACGUGGUGCUUCCGGGGCAUUGAUCCCGACGCAGUUCUUCCCGGAAUUCAUUCGAAAAGGCGAGCUGUUCCCAAAGUGAUGCAACAGGAAGGUUAAGACCGAGGAAAUCAUAUUGGAUCUGGAUUUUGAUUGCUUUCGGGAGACAAUUCCUGCCCCGGCGUUUGCAGGCAUACCAAGAAUGAAGCUGUUUUGAAAUUGGUGAGAUUGCUCCUUUUUUAUCUACUACUAGCUGUCCCGGCAAACGUCGUUCUGCCUGCCUACUGUGUUUUUU
Long non-coding RNA from Aedes albopictus (Asian tiger mosquito), 450 nucleotides. RefSeq lists it as uncharacterized. The record is from RefSeq and is a predicted model, not a curated record. The transcript is spliced from 2 exons. NCBI's taxonomy places the organism in Eukaryota, Metazoa, Arthropoda, Insecta, Diptera, Culicidae.